This is a long non-coding RNA of Corylus avellana, 1035 nucleotides long. RefSeq lists it as uncharacterized. The record is from RefSeq and is a predicted model, not a curated record. Lineage: Eukaryota; Viridiplantae; Streptophyta; Magnoliopsida; Fagales; Betulaceae.
AAAAUUACCUAUCUAUCCAUAUUUGGAUGAGUUGCUUCAAACUGUUCAUGAUCACGAGGUUUCUAUAUCCCCAAGUUACAUCUAGUAAUAAAGUUCUUCAAACCAGUUGGUUCUUGUCAUUGUUGGCGAAACUGAUCCUAGGAAGACUAUGCAGAUACCCAAAUAUCUUCAUGAAGCUGGAUAUACAAAGUUGGAUGUACACAGCCACAGAAGGUUGCUACUAUGGGUGUUGCUGCCUGAAUUUCUCAAGAAAUGGGUGUCAACCUUGUGCAUAAGGUAGGCUACCUUCAAUGCGGAACUCUGGUUUGUUCUGGAUAGCUCGUCAUUAUUCUGAUCUUAGUACUGAUUAAGGUUUGUUGGUAAUGAUGAAUAUUUUAGUUACUGCAUGUGUUUGCUUUAUCAUGUGAUGAAAUGUGCAUGCACAUUUUGAUUCCAAUAUGUCAUUGGCUGCUACGGAUGUUUCUGAUGAAGAACAACCAGAUAUGAAAGAAUCGGCAUAUUUAUGUCUUAGGAAUUUUUCUACAUCUUUUGUAUCAUUUAAUCAACCUUCUUGGGAUUUCGAUAUUACUACUUUUCCUAUUUGAUGAUGUUUUUUGAAAUGUACUUUCUGUUUCUUGUUUGUGUUGGUUGAUGUAAUUUGAUUUCCUUUGUAUUUGGAUAUUGCUAACUAUGUAAUUCUCCUUUGUUGAAGCCCAACAGUAAUGUUUUAUGUCAUCUGCAGGUUGGUUAUUGCAUCUAUUGUGACGAGAUGCAAUAACCAGCCGAUUGAGCUAUCAAAGGAGGGAUGAGAAUUCGAACUAGUGACCUCCGUUUCAUGAGGAGUGAUUUCCAGCCGAUUGAGCUAUCAUUUGAGGACAAGAAACUAAUUACUUGAAUGCAAUUGUAGUUACUAUUCUCUAAAGAGUAAUUUUAAAUAUCACCUCAUGUCUCCUUUGUGUCUUCGAAAAAUGGUCAAGAAGAGAUCAAAACAGCAAUAGGAGUUUGAAACAUGCAAGAGAUGUACAAGAUCAGCUUGAAGGGCUCUUGGAAAGGGCU